Long non-coding RNA from Lacerta agilis (Sand lizard), 505 nucleotides. RefSeq lists it as uncharacterized. The transcript is spliced from 4 exons. The record is from RefSeq and is a predicted model, not a curated record. Lineage: Eukaryota; Metazoa; Chordata; Lepidosauria; Squamata; Lacertidae.
UUCGUUUUAGACAAUAAAGCUUCUGCCCAGUGAGCGCUGGGAAUUACAGUGGACAAUGGAGGAGGCAUUCUUAAGAGUGUCUAAUGAUGGGGGGGAAAAGAAAAAUAUUUAUUGCUUUUGACAGUUUCACAAGGGGCAAAAAUCCUUGUCAUGGUUUAAAGUUUCCACAGCUGUUUGGAGGGAAGGGUGGCGCCUACGGACUGGAAACAGUUCGGCAUCUUUGUUUAGCAGGCCAAGCGCAAAAGGGGCCAAGCUGUGAAAUUAAAGAUGUAAGUUCAUUAAGCAGAGAAGCUGAUGUCUUUGCAAAAGAGAACUGCGGCAGCGACUUGUAACCCUACCAGUCAAUUUUUUAAAAGGACACAAUAGCCAUGCACCGAAGAUCCUCAGCAAGAGCUCACACUGCCCAUAGACUUCACUUGGAGACAAAUGGUGAGUCAGGAUAUUCCUUGGGAGCAAGUGGGAUUUGCAAGAAAUAAGAAGACCUCCCCUGGACUGGAUCAAAUGC